This 467-nucleotide ribosomal RNA is filed under the name uncultured bacterium. Its description in RNAcentral is "partial 16S ribosomal RNA". It matches the Rfam family "Bacterial small subunit ribosomal RNA", at positions 28 to 506 of the family's 1533-position model. The record is from RNAcentral.
GACGAACGCUGGCGGCGUGCUUAACACAUGCGAGUCGAACGGAAAGGCCCUGCUUUUGUGGGGUGCUCGAGUGGCGAACGGGUGAGUAACACGUGAGUAACCUGCCCUUGACUUUGGGAUAACUUCAGGAAACUGGGGCUAAUACCGGAUAGGAGCUCCUGCUGCAUGGUGGGGGUUGGAAAGUUUCGGCGGUUGGGGAUGGACUCGCGGCUUAUCAGCUUGUUGGUGGGGUAGUGGCUUACCAAGGCUUUGACGGGUAGCCGGCCUGAGAGGGUGACCGGCCACAUUGGGACUGAGAUACGGCCCAGACUCCUACGGGAGGCAGCAGUGGGGAAUAUUGCACAAUGGGCGGAAGCCUGAUGCAGCAACGCCGCGUGCGGGAGGACGGCCUUCGGGUUGUAAACCGCUUUCGCCUGUGACGAAGCGUGAGUGACGGUAAUGGGGAAAGAAGCACCGGCUAACUACGU